This is a long non-coding RNA of Piliocolobus tephrosceles (Ugandan red Colobus), 379 nucleotides long. RefSeq lists it as uncharacterized. The record is from RefSeq and is a predicted model, not a curated record. The transcript has 3 exons. Lineage: Eukaryota; Metazoa; Chordata; Mammalia; Primates; Cercopithecidae.
AGAAAAUUGAGGCAAAGAGAAGUUAAGAAGCUGCUCAAGAUCACACAGCCAGUAAAUGGUAACCCAGGCAGUCCAACUGCAGAGGUCAACUUUCAACAACCCUGUGAUGAUGCUUCUCUUUGAGGGUUGGUGACUGAGGGGAGAAGAGAAGGAGAAUGAAGAAGGUCUACAGGUUCUGAGAGCAAAGCAAAUAAUUGCCACCAAUGCUCCAAAGCUGAAGACAACAGACAUCAAGGAACCCCCAUCAUUUAAACAGAAUCGGUGAGCUACUGAGAGGCAACAGAACUGGCAUUGCUCCUCCAAGCAUCAGUCUCCCAUCCUUUCCUUCUCCCUACUGCAUUAUCUACAUAUUAUGUGUUGUACGUAAACUAGAGGAACA